UUUUCUUUUUUUCCCCCCCCACACGCGCAAUUCCAGCUCCCAAUAGCGUAUAUUAAAGUUGUUGCAGUUAAAAAGCUCGUAGUUGAACUUUGGGUCUGGCUGGCCGGUCCGCCUCACCGCGAGUACUGGUCCGGCUGGACCUUUCCUUCUGGGGAACCCCAUGGCCUUCACUGGCCGUGGCGGGGAACCAGGACUUUUACUGUGAAAAAAUUAGAGUGUUCAAAGCAGGCCUUUGCUCGAAUACAUUAGCAUGGAAUAAUAGAAUAGGACGUGUGGUUCUAUUUUGUUGGUUUCUAGGACCGCCGUAAUGAUUAAUAGGGAUAGUCGGGGGCGUCAGUAUUCAGCUGUCAGAGGUGAAAUUCUUGGAUUUGCUGAAGACUAACUACUGCGAAAGCAUUCGCCAAGGAUGUUUUCAUUAAUCAGGGAACGAAAGUUAGGGGAUCGAAGACGAUCAGAUACCGUCGUAGUCUUAACCAUAAACUAUGCCGACUAGGGAUCGGACGGUGUUUCUAUUAUGACCCGUUCGGCACCUUACGAGAAAUCAAAGUUUUUGGGUUCUGGGGGGAGUAUGGUCGCAAGGCUGAAACUUAAAGAAAUUGACGGAAGGGCACCACAAGGCGUGGAGCCUGCGGCUUAAUUUGACUCAACACGGGGAAACUCACCAGGUCCAGACGAAAUAAGGAUUGACAGAUUGAGAGCUCUUUCUUGAUCUUUUGGAUGGUGGUGCAUGGCCGUUCUUAGUUGGUGGAGUGAUUUGUCUGCUUAAUUGCGAUGACGAACGAGACCUCUGCCCUUAAAUAGCCAGGUCCGCGUUUGCGGGCCGCUGACUUCUUAAGUGACUAUCGUCUCAAAUCCGAUUGAAGUUGCCCGGCAAUAACGCGUCAGUAUGAGCCCCCUUUAGAAGGAA
This 907-nucleotide ribosomal RNA is filed under the name Paecilomyces variotii. RNAcentral describes it as "SSU rRNA". It matches the Rfam family "Eukaryotic small subunit ribosomal RNA", at positions 570 to 1481 of the family's 1831-position model. The record is from RNAcentral. Lineage: Eukaryota; Fungi; Ascomycota; Eurotiomycetes; Eurotiales; Thermoascaceae.